Molecule: non-coding RNA, 23 nt
Filed under: Arabidopsis thaliana (thale cress)
Lineage: Eukaryota; Viridiplantae; Streptophyta; Magnoliopsida; Brassicales; Brassicaceae
Source: RNAcentral
GAGUGUCUCUAUGCAAUCGAGUA